Molecule: ribosomal RNA, 593 nt
Filed under: uncultured bacterium
Lineage: Bacteria
Description: bacterial SSU rRNA
Rfam family: Bacterial small subunit ribosomal RNA
Source: RNAcentral
CCUACGGGAGGCAGCAGUGGGGAAUAUUGCGCAAUGGGGGGAAACCCUGACGCAGCAACGCCGCGUGAGUGAGGAAGGACUUCGGUCUGUAAAGCUCUGUUAAUGUGGAAAAAAUGGUUAGUGGUCUAAUAGGCCAUUGAUUUGAUGGUACACAUAGAGGAAGCACCGGCUAACUUCGUGCCAGCAGCCGCGGUAAUACGAAGGGUGCAAGCGUUGUUCGGAUUUAUUGGGCGUAAAGCGCGCGUAGGCGGACCUGCAAGUCAGAUGUGAAAUCUCGGGGCUCAACCUCGAAACUGCGUCUGAAACUACAGGUCUAGAAUCUUGGAGGGGGGAAGGGGAAUUUCUCAUGUAGGGGUAAAAUCCGUAGAUAUGAGAAGGAACACCAGAGGCGAAGGCGCCUUCCUGGACAAGUAUUGACGCUGAGGCGCGAAAGCGUGGGGGAUCAAACAGGAUUAGAUACCCUGGUAGUCCACGCUGUAAACGAUGAAUACUAGAUAUUGCAGGAUUUGACCCCUGCAGUGUCGUAGCUAACGCGUUAAGUAUUCCGCCUGGGAAGUACGGUCGCAAGACUUAAACUUCAAAUUGAUUGACGG